UUUAAAUUGCUGUGGUAUUUUGACUAUACAAAGGUAUUGAAAUAAGAUUUUAAUUGAAUGCUAAGAGAAUGGAAGUCCAGAAAAAAACUUUUUUUAAAUUAAAAAUUGAAGUUUUUUUAAUUUGUGCAGAAACAAUUAUUUAUAUUAAAGACAAGAAGACCCUAUGAAUUUAUUAAAUUUUUAUUUAAUAUGUAAUUACUAUUAGAAAAAUUUUGGCUGGGGCGGCUAGAAAAUAUUAUGAACUUUUUAAAAAUAAAAUGAUCCAUUAUUAAUGAUUUUAUGUUAAAUCGUCUAGGGAUAACAGCGUUAUAUUUU
RNAcentral lists this ribosomal RNA (315 nucleotides) under Rhipicephalus sanguineus (brown dog tick). Its description in RNAcentral is "partial large subunit ribosomal RNA". Lineage: Eukaryota; Metazoa; Arthropoda; Arachnida; Ixodida; Ixodidae. The record is from RNAcentral.